AGAAUUCUGGCAUUAGUAUAUGACAUUCACAGUACUUUAUGCGACUUCUAGGAGUAUAAACUCUGGUCACUCUGAACAGUUAAGAAUAAUAUGGCAGAAAUGCAGAGGAGCCAGAAGUUAAUUGCUGAAGAAAUAUAUGUUAAAGGAGGAGAGCAGAUGAAGAAUAGUAGGUCAAGGCAAUCAUGAUCGGAACUUUGAAAGCCAGGAUAAAGGGCUACAAGGAAGGCAAAGAAAAGCAAACAUGAUCAGAGCUAAAAUCACCUAAGAGCAGAGGCCUGUUCCAUUGCCGCAGCCCCCACCAACCAAAGUCUGUAAAGAAGGUAAAGCGGAACGGCUUAGCUGCUGCCGACUAGGGCCCCUC
Molecule: long non-coding RNA, 361 nt
Organism: Eptesicus fuscus (big brown bat)
Lineage: Eukaryota; Metazoa; Chordata; Mammalia; Chiroptera; Vespertilionidae
Exons: 3
Source: RefSeq, a predicted model, not a curated record